CAGUCGCCACGGGAAUACGAAGGGUGCAAGCGUUAAUCGGAAUUACUGGGCGUAAAGCGUGCGUAGGCGGUUUGUUAAGUCUGUUGUGAAAUCCCCGGGCUCAACCUGGGAAUGGCAAUGGAUACUGGCAAGCUAGAGUGUGUCAGAGGAUGGUGGAAUUCCCGGUGUAGCGGUGAAAUGCGUAGAGAUCGGGAGGAACAUCAGUGGCGAAGGCGGCCAUCUGGGACAACACUGACGCUGAGGCACGAAAGCGUGGGGAGCAAACAGGAUUAGAUACCCCUGUAGUCCUGUCUCUUAUACA
RNAcentral lists this ribosomal RNA (301 nucleotides) under uncultured bacterium. RNAcentral describes it as "partial 16S ribosomal RNA". It matches the Rfam family "Bacterial small subunit ribosomal RNA", at positions 509 to 809 of the family's 1533-position model. The record is from RNAcentral.